GGAUCAUUUGGCAUGUUCAUCGACUAUGUUAACCCAUUGAGUGGCAGCAUGCACUUUCCCCCUGACGAGUAAAAUUGUCUGGCGUUAGCCAGAGUAAACUAACAAAGUAGGGCGCAUCUGGGUGCAUUGACUUAAAGGGUUAAGAUGUAAAUACCACAGCACAACACUUGUACAUAUACAACAGCAAUCUUUUUAUAUAUUUAAUAGUCAUAUUUACAUAUUGGUGAAAUAUCAAUGUUCAUAUAUUAGGGAUGUCCAUGAACUUCUGAAAUCAGAACUUGUUCCUAGUUUGAAGCUGAAGUAUUCAUAUCUUUUGUAUCAGUUGUCCCUCUACUAACCAACUUUUAGUCAUGAUACAAGAGUUGAAUUUGCAUUCAUUUGCUUCGCAAGUCGCAACAAACUGAACAAAGUACUAAACCAUAAACCUGUGUAAUGAUCGAGCGUCUUGAGCGACAUAUCCAAGUCUUUUAAACGUCGCAUACGAACAAAUCUCGCUGAGUUUUUUCCACAGAAAGUAUUGAUCCAUUUGAUCGAUCGCCGUACUUUGAGAAAAGCUUGAAAUGCAAAAUUCACAGGGAAGAUUGAAGAAUUUCGUACUAAAAACCUAAAAACUGUUGGUCGUCGAGUUUCACCUCUAGAAUUCAC
Molecule: long non-coding RNA, 645 nt
Filed under: Paramuricea clavata
Lineage: Eukaryota; Metazoa; Cnidaria; Anthozoa; Malacalcyonacea; Plexauridae
Source: RNAcentral